ACCGAUCAUAGCUCAGAUUGAACGCUGGCGGAUGCUUUACAUGCAAGUCGAACGGCAGCACGGACUUCGGUCUGGUGGCGAGUGGCGAACGGGUGAGUAAUGUAUCGGAACGUGCCUAGUAGCCCGGGGGAUAACUACGCGAAAGCGUAGCUAAUACCUUACGCCCUUCCCAGAGGAAAAGCAGAGGACCUUCGGGCCUCGCACUAUGGAAGCAGCCGAUAUCGGAUUAGCUAGUUGGUGGGAGUAACGGCUCGCAAAGGCGACGAUCCGUAGCUGGUUUGAAGAGGACGACCAGCCACGCAGGACUGAGACACGGCCCAGACUCCUACAGGUAGCAGUGGGGAAUUUUGGACAAUGGGAAACCUGAUCCAGCCAUCCCGCGUGCGAUGAAGGCCUUCGGGUUGUAAGCACUUUUUGGCGGGAAAGAAACGGCACGGGGAUAAUACCCCGUGCAACUGACGGUACCUGCAGAAUAAGCACCAGCUAACUACGUGCCAGCAGCCGCAUGAUAAUACGUGAUUACGCAAGCGUUAAUCGGAAUUACUGGGCGUAAAGCGUGCUGGGCGGUUCGGAAAGAAAGAUGUGAAAUCCCAGAAGGAACUUCUUUGGAACUGCAUUUUUAACUACCGAGCUAGAGUGUGUCAGAGGGAGGUACGAUUCCGCGUGUAGCAGUGAAAUGCGUAGAUAUGCGGAGGAACACCGAUGGCGAAGGCAGCCUCCUGGGAUAACACUGACGCUCAUGCACGAAAGCGUGGGGAGCAAACAGGAUUAGAUACCCUGGUAGGUCCACGCCCUAAACGAUGUCAACUAGCUGUUGGGGCCUUCCGGGCCUUGUGGUAGCGCAACUAACGCGUAGAGAUUGACCGCCUACGAGGAGUACGGUCGCAAGAUUAAAACUCCGAGAAUUGACGAGGACCCGCACAAGCGGUGGAUGAUGUGGAUUAAUUCGAUGCAACGCGAAAAACCUUACCUACCCUUGACAUAUCGCAGGUCGAAGAGAUUUGGGAGUGCUCGCAAGAGAACCGGAACACAGGUACUGCAUGGCUGUCGUCAGCUCGUGUCGUGAGAUGUUGGGUUAAGUCCCGCAACAGGCGCAACCCUUGUCAUUGAAUUUGCUACGAGGGCACUCUAAUGAAGCUGCCGGUGACAAACCGGAGGAAGGUGGAUGACGUCAAGUCCUCAUGGCCCUUAUGGGUAGGGCUUCACGCGUCAUACAAUGGUCAGGACAGAGGGUCGCCAACCCGCGAGGGGGGAGCCAAUCCAGAAACCCGAUCGUAGUCCGGAUCCUGAUCUGCAACUCGACUGCGUGAAGUCGGAAUCGCUAGUAAUCUGAGAUCAGCAUGUCGCGGUAGACCCUGGUCCAGGUCUUGUACACACACGCCCGUCACACCAUGGGAGUGGGUUUACCAGAAGUAGUUAGCCUAACCGUAAGGAGGGCGAUUACCACGGUAGGAUUCAUGACUGGGGUGAAGUCGUAACAAGGUAA
RNAcentral lists this ribosomal RNA (1486 nucleotides) under uncultured Bordetella sp. Its description in RNAcentral is "partial 16S-23S ribosomal RNA intergenic spacer". It matches the Rfam family "Bacterial small subunit ribosomal RNA". The record is from RNAcentral. Lineage: Bacteria; Pseudomonadati; Pseudomonadota; Betaproteobacteria; Burkholderiales; Alcaligenaceae.